RNAcentral lists this ribosomal RNA (421 nucleotides) under bacterium. Its description in RNAcentral is "partial 16S ribosomal RNA". It matches the Rfam family "Bacterial small subunit ribosomal RNA", at positions 355 to 776 of the family's 1533-position model. The record is from RNAcentral.
UGGGGAAUUUUGCACAAUGGGGGGAACCUUGAUGCAGCGACGCCGCGUGAGGGAUGGAGGCCUUCGGGUUGUGAACCUCUUUCGCUCGUGUGCAAGCCGCUAUUUGGGUAGUGGAGAGUGUAGCGGGUAAAGAAGCGCCGGCUAACUACGUGCCAGCAGCCGCGGUAAUACGUAGGGCGCGAGCGUUGUCCGGAUUUAUUGGGCGUAAAGGGCUUGUAGGCGGUUUGUCGCGCCUGUCGUGUAAUCCUCUGGCUUAACUGGGGGUGUGCGGUGGGUACGGGCAGGCUUGAGUGCGGUAGGGGAGAUUGGAAUUCCUGGUGUAGCGGUGGAAUGCGCAGAUAUCAGGAGGAACACCGGUGGCGAAGGCGGGUCUCUGGGCCGUUACUGACGCUGAGGAGCGAAAGCGUGGGGAGCGAACAGG